UACGUAGGGUGCGAGCGUUGUCCGGAAUUACUGGGCGUAAAGCGCACGUAGGCGGCUUCUUAAGUCAGGGGUGAAAUCCUGGAGCUCAACUCCAGAACUGCCUUUGAUACUGAGAAGCUUGAGUCCGGGAGAGGUGAGUGGAACUGCGAGUGUAGAGGUGAAAUUCGUAGAUAUUCGCAAGAACACCAGUGGCGAAGGCGGCUCACUGGCCCGGUACUGACGCUGAGGCGCGAAAGCGUGGGGAGCAAACAGG
RNAcentral lists this ribosomal RNA (253 nucleotides) under uncultured bacterium. RNAcentral's name for it is "partial 16S ribosomal RNA". It matches the Rfam family "Bacterial small subunit ribosomal RNA", at positions 524 to 776 of the family's 1533-position model. The record is from RNAcentral.